GCCGCUCUGGUUUGGGUGCCCUAUUUGCUGGUCCGGAUUCGGCCAGUUGGUGGGUGUCUCCUGGGCUUUGGUGGUGCAUUUGCAAGUGGAGUGCGCUGAGGCCUGUGGGGCAGCGGUUGGAAGUGCGCUUUGAGGAUACCCUUUGGGGUAAAACCCGGACGUACCUAAGACUGUUUGCCCUGCUUGUACAUGAGCGAGGCCUACGGGUUUGGUUGGRGCUGAGCUGGUCGUCGGUUACGGUCGCAUGCGACACGUGCCGGUGGUUGGUUUGGUUUUGGUCUGAUUCCCUCGCUCGCCCUCGGUGUAAAAGCUAGUCAUCUAUCCGACCCGUCUUGAAACACGGACCAAGGAGUUUAGCGUAUACGCGAGUCAUUGAGUGGAAAACUCAAAGGCGCAAUGAAAGUAAAGGUAUCCCUUGCGGAGCUGAUAUGCGACCUCGGGUGCUUCGGUGCCCGGGAGCAGCAUAGCCCCGUCCUAAUUGCUUGCAAUGGGGCGGAGGUAGAGCGUAUUCGCUGAGACCCGAAAGAUGGUGAACUAUUCCUGA
RNAcentral lists this ribosomal RNA (544 nucleotides) under Merlinius microdorus. RNAcentral's name for it is "eukaryotic LSU rRNA". It matches the Rfam family "Eukaryotic large subunit ribosomal RNA", at positions 604 to 840 of the family's 3401-position model. Lineage: Eukaryota; Metazoa; Nematoda; Chromadorea; Rhabditida; Merliniidae. The record is from RNAcentral.